Molecule: RNA transcript, 1927 nt
Organism: Homo sapiens (human)
Lineage: Eukaryota; Metazoa; Chordata; Mammalia; Primates; Hominidae
Gene: HMGN2P46
Gene name: high mobility group nucleosomal binding domain 2 pseudogene 46
Exons: 6
Source: RefSeq, marked validated
ACCUAAGCGAUGAAAUCCAAAGGUGAAUCUUUUGGUUGGUGAUUUUGAUGAUAGCCACAAAGCAAGCAGGCUGUAUGGUAGCCUUGAAAACCAACAGGCCACAAUCACAGUGAAAACCUCAGGUUGGCAGCCACUGGAGGAUACAAAAUGAGUUUGGAUCUCCUUCAAUGCCCCAUUCCCAGAGAACUGUCAUUAUUUGACCUGCUGGUAGUUCCCUAAAGGACGUGCAAGGAUGUUUUUAUUUGACUGGACACUUGAAGCUUGCCCUGUAUGAACAGCCCCCAUCUUCCCAUGCUUGUCAAAAAUCAGAGGCAACUAACACUGCGGCUUCCUGAGAGUCUCACUCUGUCACCCAGGCUGGAGAGCAAUUGCACAAACACUUGGCUCACUGCAGCCUCAACUUCUUGUCCUCAAGUGAUCCUCCCACCUUAGCCUCCUAAGUAGCUGGGACCACAGGGAACUCCGGAUGUGACUCCUGUUACAUGAAAAUGGAAGAGGUCAGAGUUGUCCAAGAGGGAGGCCAGCCACAUCCAGGCAGGGCCCCCAUGGUCAGAACCCUGCUAGAGCCAUCAAGGUCCCAGAGCUCCCAAGAUGGUGGCAAGCCUUUUGUUCUCUGACCAGAGGUUCCUGGCCUCACGGAUUCCAAGGAAUGGAACCUUGGGCCAUGCGUGCACUUGAUUUUGCAGAUGAGUCUGGAAGUGUUAGUUGCAAAGAUAUGCAUUUACUUCUCUGGCUACAAAAAAGAAUAGAAAUGCACAAAGCAGAGCAGUGUGAAGAAGAAGAGGCGAUGACCCCUAGACCGACCAAAGCCCGUGCUCCACUGCCCAGUGCCUAUGUCCCACCACUGUCGCUGCCACCCUGCCCGAGAGAAAGGCUGAAGGGGAUGCUAAAGGAGAUAAAACCAAGGUUAAGUAGGAACUGCAGAGAAGAUCCACAAGGUUGUCUGCUAAACCUGCUCCUCCAAAGCCACAGCCGAAGCCCAGAAAGGCCUCUGCAAAGAAGAGAGAGAAGGUACCUACAGAGAAGAAGGGAAAAGCUGAUGCUGGCAAGGAGGGGAAUAACCCUGCAGAAAAUGGAGAUGCCAAAACAGACUAGGCACAGAAAGCUAAAGGUGCUGGAGAUGCCAAGUGAAGUGUGUGCAUUUUUGAUAACUGUGUACUUCUGGUGACUGUACAGUUUGAAAUACUAUUUUUUAAUCAAGUUUUAUAAAAAUGCAGAUUUUGUUUAGCUUUUUUUUUUUUUUUUAAGCUAUGUUAGUACACAGAAUACUUCAUUGUUGUUUUGGGGAGAAGGGCCAUAUGUCACUAAUAGAAAGCCCCUGAAGCUGGACUGAUGUGGGGAAAACACCUUUUCCUUCUGGUUUUGAGAGACUUCCUCUUGGGUCCCAGGAAGAGGGAUUCCCUGACUUUGAUACACAUGGCCACCUUGGUAUAAAAGCCUUGUGGUAUGGAAAAACAAAUUCGUUUUUUAUGUCCUCUUCUCUGUUUCUACCUUUCAGAAUGGACUUAAAUCCCUUAAACCCAGACAUCUUCUGGGACCUGACCCCCAAUAAUUGGUUACCAGUGUGUCAGGCAAUCUGGACUUUGCCCUCAAAAGAGCAGUGGUUCCUGUUUCUAGGUUGUGGAUCUUCAGAUAAAUUCUGUCAUUUUCCUUUCACUUCCUGAAAGCCAGGGUCGGUUCAUGAAAAGCUAUGAAACAGCAUGCUAAAUGUGAAAUGUCAACCCUCACUAAACUUUGCCGGUUCAGAGCAUCAGAUGAAGACUUCAUUGGGUUUUACAGUGGCUUUCUGAUUUUUGGUAGUCCAUUGAAGAAGGGAGUUUGAAAGUUGUUGUAUACUGUUAACGAUUGUCUGCCCAUGUCCUGCCCAAAAUACCAUGAUUCUUUAUGGAAAUUAUCUUUAAUAAAGCUGGAUACAGUUUGGCUUGGG